Molecule: ribosomal RNA, 492 nt
Filed under: uncultured bacterium
Lineage: Bacteria
Description: partial 16S ribosomal RNA
Rfam family: Bacterial small subunit ribosomal RNA
Source: RNAcentral
AGUGAACGCUGGCGGUAGGCCUAACACAUGCAAGUCGAACGGCAGCACAGUAAGAGCUUGCUCUUACGGGUGUCGAGUGGCGGACGGGUGAGGAAUACAUCGGAAUCUACUUUUUCGUGGGGGAUAACGUAGGGAAACUUACGCUAAUACCGCAUACGACCUACUGGUGAAAGCAGGGGAUCUUCGGACCUUGCGCGAUUGAAUGAGCCGAUGUCGGAUUAGCUAGUUGGCGGGGUAAAGGCCCACCACGGCUACGAUCCGUAGCUGGUCUGAGAGGAUGGUCACACAGACUGGAACUGAGACACGGCCCAGACUCUGACGGGAGGCAGCAGUGGGGAAUAUUGCACGAUGGGGGAAAGCCUGAUCCAGCAAUACCGCGUGGGUGAAGAAGGACUUCGGGUUGUAGAGCGCUUUUGUUGGGAGAGAAGAGCAGCAUGUUUAUACCCCGCUGUUCUGACGGUACCCAAAGAAUAAGCACCGGCUAACUUCGUG